Molecule: long non-coding RNA, 719 nt
Filed under: Helianthus annuus (common sunflower)
Lineage: Eukaryota; Viridiplantae; Streptophyta; Magnoliopsida; Asterales; Asteraceae
Source: RNAcentral
GAAGAUCAAGGAAUUCAUUGCUUAUAUCAUCGUCUUUAUUUUUUUAAAAAAACCUUGCAACUUCGAACUAUAUAAUUCACAUCUAUCGGGUCCUGGUACUUCUGAACUCCCUCACCGUAGCCGACCCCCGCGAUUGUGAAAGACCGCCGCCCUGCUCGUCGUGUUCCGUCGUGGCCACCUUGGUUCGUCGGAGCUUUUCGUCGUGCCCAUCGGUUUGAUCAGUUUAGUUCUUCGAUCAGGAUCAGCCGCUACUCAGACCGUUGCAGCCGCACUCCGUCUUCGAUCGAGCCCCGUCGUCACGUUACUCCACCGUGUUCAGGCCAGAGCCGUUGCUACUGCUCGACUCGUUUCGUUUGAUCACCUGGAGCUCUAGUUUCUUUUUCUUUUUGUCUCCGGUUAGCUCCGUUUGCGUUUAAGAUAAAGAUGUCUACUAAACUUUGAUAUGAAGAGACAAGUUGGCGUUUGUGACUGUAGAGGAAAACUUGAUUAUUGGUUUUGCUUGUGUGCUAAUAAGGUAAUUUGGGAAUCAUGGGGAAUAAGUGAAGAGUGUCGUGAAGAUAAAGAUUUUUUUUUUCGGUGAUGUAAUGAAAAUGUGUCACACCCCAACCGAUGGCGGAAUCAUCGGGGCGCGGCACUGAGCGAAACAGAUUGUCCAGAAGUUUCCACAACAACUAUUAUUACAAAUUCAGUUAAAUGAUACGUCCCAUACCGUAUCCCAA